RNAcentral lists this ribosomal RNA (269 nucleotides) under uncultured bacterium. RNAcentral describes it as "partial 16S ribosomal RNA". It matches the Rfam family "Bacterial small subunit ribosomal RNA", at positions 87 to 354 of the family's 1533-position model. The record is from RNAcentral.
CCCGGCGACCGGCGCACGGGUGAGUAACACGUAUGCAACCUGGCCGCCACAGGGGGAUAACCCGCGGAAACGCGGCCUAAUACCCCGUGACGCCACCGGAGGGCAUCCUCCGGUGGCCAAAGGAGCGAUCCGGUGGCGGAUGGGCAUGCGGCGCAUUAGCUAGACGGCGGGGUGACGGCCCACCGUGGCGACGAUGCGUAGGGGUUCUGAGAGGAAGGCCCCCCACACUGGGACUGAGACACAGCCCAAACUCCUACGGGAGGCAGCAG